UACGUAGGAUGCGAGCGUUAUCCGGAUUUAUUGGGUUUAAAGGGUGCGCAGGCGGUCUGUUAAGUCAGCGGUCAAAGCCCGGGGCUCAACCCCGGCCCGCCGUUGAAACUGGCAGUCUCGAGUUGGAGAGAAGUAUGCGGAAUGCGCGGUGUAGCGGUGAAAUGCAUAGAUAUCGCGCAGAACUCCGAUUGCGAAGGCAGCAUGCCGGCUCCACACUGACGCUGAGGCACGAAAGCGUGGGUAUCGAACAGG
Molecule: ribosomal RNA, 252 nt
Filed under: uncultured bacterium
Lineage: Bacteria
Description: partial 16S ribosomal RNA
Rfam family: Bacterial small subunit ribosomal RNA
Source: RNAcentral